Triticum aestivum (bread wheat) is the source of this 115-nucleotide non-coding RNA. The record is from Rfam. NCBI's taxonomy places the organism in Eukaryota, Viridiplantae, Streptophyta, Magnoliopsida, Poales, Poaceae.
CGUCUACUCCCUUCAUUCCGAAUUACUUGUCGCAAGUACGGAUGUAUCUAGAUGCAUCUUAGUUCUAGAUACAUCCAUUUCUACGACAAGUAAUUUGGAACGAAGGGAGUAAUAC